UACGUAGGGACCAAGCGUUGUCCGGAAUCAUUGGGCGUAAAGCGCGCGUAGGUGGCUUCAUAAGUCCGUUGUGAAAGUCAAAGGCUCAACCUUUGAAAGCCGAUGGAUACUGUGGAGCUAGAGUACGGAAGAGGCGAGUGGAAUUCCUGGUGUAGCGGUGGAAUGCGCAGAUAUCAGGAGGAACACCAAUAGCGAAGGCAGCUCGCUGGGACGUUACUGACACUAAGGCGCGAAAGCGUGGGGAGCGAACAGG
Molecule: ribosomal RNA, 253 nt
Filed under: uncultured bacterium
Lineage: Bacteria
Description: partial 16S ribosomal RNA
Rfam family: Bacterial small subunit ribosomal RNA
Source: RNAcentral